AUCAGGGGGAUAGCCUCUCGAAAGAGAGAUUAAGACCGCAUAAAAUCACUUUAUGGCAUCGUAGAGUGAUCAAAUAUUUAUAGGAUCAAGAUGGGCAUGCGGAACAUUAGCUAGUUGGUAAGGUAACGGCUUACCAAGGCUACGAUGUUUAGGGGAUCUGAGAGGAUGACCCCCCACACUGGUACUGAGACACGGACCAGACUCCUACGGGAGGCAGCAGUAAGGAAUAUUGGUCAAUGGGCGGAAGCCUGAACCAGCCAUGCCGCGUGCAGGAAGACGGCCCUACGGGUUGUAAACUGCUUUUGUACCGGAAUAAACCUUUGGUCGUGACCAGAGCUGAAUGUACGGUAAGAAUAAGGAUCGGCUAACUCCGUGCCAGCAGCCGCGGUAAUACGGAGGAUCCAAGCGUUAUCCGGAUUUAUUGGGUUUAAAGGGUGCGUAGGUGGCUUAUUAAGUCAGGGGUGAAAGACGGUAGCUUAACUAUCGCAGUGCCUUUGAUACUGAUGAGCUUGAAUGAACUAGAGGUAGGCGGAAUGUGACAAGUAGCGGUGAAAUGCAUAGAUAUGUCACAGAACACCAAUUGCGAAGGCAGCUUACUAUGGUUAAAUUGACACUGAGGCACGAAAGCGUGGGGAUCAAACAGGAUUAGA
RNAcentral lists this ribosomal RNA (650 nucleotides) under bacterium EJ10-89. RNAcentral describes it as "bacterial SSU rRNA". It matches the Rfam family "Bacterial small subunit ribosomal RNA", at positions 134 to 782 of the family's 1533-position model. The record is from RNAcentral.